Molecule: ribosomal RNA, 226 nt
Filed under: uncultured bacterium
Lineage: Bacteria
Description: partial 16S ribosomal RNA
Rfam family: Bacterial small subunit ribosomal RNA
Source: RNAcentral
UAAAAAGACCAUCCCAGUUCGGAUUGCAGGCUGCAACCCGCCUGUAUGAAGUUGGAAUCGCUAGUAAUCGCGGAUCAGCAUGCCGCGGUGAAUACGUUCCCGGGCCUUGUACACACCGCCCGUCACACCAUGAGAGUCGGGAACACCCGAAGUCCGUAGCCUAACCGCAAGGAGGGCGCGGCCGAAGGUGGGUUCGAUAAUUGGGGUGAAGUCGUAACAAGGUAUC